Xylaria sp. FL0933 is the source of this 108-nucleotide non-coding RNA. The record is from the annotation of a GenBank genome assembly. Lineage: Eukaryota; Fungi; Ascomycota; Sordariomycetes; Xylariales; Xylariaceae.
GGGAGUUUGGCCGAGUGGUUAAGGCGCUGUGUUUAGGUCAUGAGCUUCUAGCUUAUACCGUAAAUCCCGCAGUGGGAAACCGCGCAGGUUCGAAUCCUGCAGCUCUCA